Molecule: long non-coding RNA, 4901 nt
Filed under: Vigna radiata
Lineage: Eukaryota; Viridiplantae; Streptophyta; Magnoliopsida; Fabales; Fabaceae
Description: long non-coding RNA (VRAD_LNC000143)
Source: RNAcentral
UCCAAUCAAAAAUAAACAAUAUAAAAUAGAGCAUCCAAACAAUUGUAUUUAAAUUAACGACAGAACUAAAACUUAACUAAAACAUUAUAAGAGUUUCCAAAAUCCGAUUAAAAACUCAGCGAAACAGAAAAGGCAGAGAGUACUAUCAAGACAUCUCGAUAAAAUAUAAAGAAAAGGGAAAAUGGACUGAAAUCAACGGUAGGAUUUCUGGAACCUGGCGCGAGCACCGCGACCACCGAACUUCUUGGGCUCGCAGCGGCGAGGAUCAGCAACGAGGAGUGUGCGGUCGUACCUGACGAGGAUGUCUUUGAUCUCCUUCUUCGACUGCUCAUCCACGUACUUCUGGUAAUAGGCGACGAGAGCCUUGGCGAUGCUUUGACGGAUGGCAUAGAUCUGGGAGGUAUGACCACCGCCCUUGACUCGGAUGCGCAUGUCAACGCCGGCGAAACGGUGGCGGCCGAGGAGGAGGAUGGGUUCGAAAGCCUUGAAGCGGAGGAUCUCCGGCUCGACAAGCUCAAUAGGACAUCCAUUGAUCUUGAUAAGGCCGCGGCCGCGCUUGCAGUACGUGACUGCCACCGCCGUCUUCUUCCGGCCAAAGCACUGGACCUGCUCUAAUGCUGGUGGUGUCUGCGCCAUCUUCUCAAUUAGGGUUUGGGGGUUUCACUCAAUGCGCCUCACUCAGGAAACCUAUCUGUGAUUCUCUAAUGUUUAUGGCUUUAUAUAUUCAUCCACGAUUAGGGUUUUUGAGGAUGCGGAAAUACCCUCAUUGCCCCCCUCCACAUCAUCACUAUAAAAGAAAUAAUAUAUAUUACAAUUAUGCAAAAAUAUUAAUAUAUUCUAUAUAUUGGUUUAAUCUUACCCUUGAUAAAAAAAGAAAAAAAAAACUAAAUUUAUAUUUUUUUAUAAACAAAAAAAAAAAGAGUAAGAGUUUAUAUAAAUUUACAAUUAAAGAAACAAUUAUAAAGUUAUUUUACAAGUUAAAAAAUUGUUAUUAUUAUCAUAUAGUUGAUAUAGUUAAAAAUUUCUUAUAAAAUUUGUCAUAUUUGAACCAUAUAAAAAUUUAGUUAACAUGGAAACUAAAUUUGAUUAUCUAGACACCGUAGCUAGAUUAUUAGGUAUAUCAUGUGGAAUGAAAAUAAAAUUUGUUUAUUCUAAUCACUCAUUAAGAGAAUCAUUUAAAAUAUAUAAAAGAAAAUCAUGAAAAUGAAAAUGAUCAAUCGCACUUCCAUAUUAAUUUGGAAUUAUUACCUUUCAUAAUAUUACUUUGAAUUGACAUCCAAAUUUAUUAAUUUAAAAAUAUAAAUUUAAUUAUUAACGAAAAUAUAUGUAAUUUUUUUGCUUCUGUAUAUAAUGGAAUCUGUGUUAACCACCAUAAAUAAUCUUGACCAGAUAAAUAUUGAAUCAAAGUAUUGAAUACUUAAAAAAUUUAAAUUUCUUGCAUUGAUAUGUACAACAAAUAAGUUAUGGUUGAAUUGGAUUAAUUGAAAAGAAAAAUCAAUACAAAUAUUUUAAUUCUUAAAUCAUUAUCUAAAUAAUUUGGCCUAAAUUUAAAAUAUUAUUUAAUCCAAACCAAUUGGAUGUGAUAAAUUGACAAUUGUAGACUUUUUAUUAGAUAAAUAUUAAACAAAAUAAAAUAAUAAUGCAGAGUUCAAAUAUCUCGUUUGUUGAGUGAAAGGGAAAAGUAUAAGAACAAAGUAAAUUGGGUCAAUAAAAAAAUAAAAAUCACCAUUACUUGAUAAAAAUACUUUAAAUGUUCAUAGUAUAAAUAUUGAUUUGGGAAUACAUAGGCGGUAAAUUAAUUCAGUUUUCUUUAAUUUAAAAUUGAAGCAUAAGUAAUGAUACCUUUAAACAAAAAAUUAACGAAUUAUGAUAAUAGCACUUAAGUAGCUACACAAUGUCCUAGUUGGUAAAUAUUAAGGUUAAAACAAACUUUUUAACGAUCGUGUCCUUUAAUACAUUAAAAAAAAGUAUCAAUCGAAAUAUAAAUUGCUUAAAAUAAUAGACACAAAAUUCUAAUGAGUUAGAGAAUCACAUUUGUUAAUAAAUUCACAAGGUGAAUAUGUUUUAAGAAUAUAUUCUUAAAAAUCAUAUCUAUUACUUAGACAUGAUAAAACAAACUGAUAUAAUUUAUGAAAUAAUUUCAAGUGUUAAUAGUUGAAAUUGAUUGAAUUAAAUUUAACUUUUACUAUUUUAUUGUGGAUUGAAAUGUUGAAUGACUAUAUAGAAUUGGGACUAUGAACUAUGCAAUUAGACAUGUGUCAUUUGGUAACCUAAUUUGUUAAUUUUGCCAUAAUGUUUAAAAGAAUCUCUUUGAAGGAACGUUUAAGAGUCAUUAUAUAAUACUUAUUCUUUUGAACUUUUUAUUUUAUAGCAAAAAAAUGUUGUUUUUAACAUGAUAAUUUUUACUAUUAUGCUAGUUAUCUUUUAUUAACAAAAUCAACUAUUUUCUAAUUUUCAACUUUCUUAAUUUUCAAUUUUGUUUCGCUUUUGUACAUAAUUAUAUUUAGGAUUUACUAGUAUAAUUAUAAUACCAAUCUUAUUAUUUUAUAUGUAACUUCGUAACAUGAUAUUUUUGUCUUGAUUUAAACAUGCUUUGCAUCCUUUAGAAGCAAGAAGAAUAUGAAAUAUAAUAAGAGAAAAGUCUCUUAAACAAUUUUUUUUUUUACAAUUUUUUACAAUUUUUUUAUAACAUAUACGUGACAGUUUAUUGUCCGACGUCAUUCAGAGGCAUUGGACACCAGUUUUGACAAAUGACUCAUUUUCCUAAUUUUUAGCAAGUUAGACAUAACUUAUUCUGACGUGCCAAAUUAGUCAUAUUUCUUCGUGUUUGAUUAAGGUAAAUAUAUCAUUGGCAGUUUGGGAUGAAAAAAAUACUUUUACAAGAGCUUAAAGGUGUGUUAGAACUCGAGAAAGCAAUUAUUUAUUCUUCUUUGUAUCUUUAUCUUCUUUCAUAUUUUAUUUUAGAAUCUUAGAAUUUUUAUGAUAAUGAAAAACUAAACCCACUUUAUUAGGUUUUACAAGAUAAUGAAGAACUAAACACAUUUUUGUUGAAAGAAAAUAUAAUCACUAAACUUUCUUGUAAAUUAUAUAAAUGAUAAAACUUGUAUUUAAGAAAUAGGAUUAACUCAUUAAUUAUCGUAAACCCUAGUUCAUAAAAUAUAUUUGUUUAUUAGGAGUUUUCAUAAAAUAUAUUUAUUUAUUAGUAGUUUAAGAAAUUGACUCUUAUGAGAAGGAAGUAAGCAAAAUCUAAUCCCACUAAUAACAUUCUAUAUAAUUUAAAAAUUUUUUUCAUUUUUAAGCGUGUUUAACUUCCAAAUCUCUUCUUCUUUUGUCGCAUAAAAUCAAAAUUAUAAAUAAAUUAUUUAAUCUACACAUAUGAUUACUUGUACAAUUAUUUAGUAUUACAAAAACCUUAAAAAGUGAUAUCUAAUAUUUCCAAUUACUACAUACAGGACUUGGUACACUUAGUAAGAAGUUAUCACAUCGUCUACAGAAGAGUUUAGUGGCAUAGUGAUAUCAAAUAGGUAAAAAGACUCCAAAAUUCGUACAAAUUUACUUUUCAAUUUACCAUAUCGUAUCAUCAACGUAAAGUACUAAUUCAUCAUUUUGUAAGUAUAUUAGUACCUAAGUCAAUUUGAAAUUAGAAUAAAAAUUAUAUAGAAAUUAUAGUUCUUAAUCACGAUUUUGGUGUUGUUGUCAAAGUAAUGUAGAAAAAACACAACAUUAAAGGUCUAAUUAACAUCAUCAAGCUUCUCAAGAACAACUCAUUAGAGGUCUAAUUAACAUCAUCAUCAUCAAGGUGGUCAAUAACAACUAUAUGACAAUCCUGAUGUCCAUUUCGCAUUAAUUCCAACCACUACUCUUAAAGUAUUGCAUUGCUUAUAACAGCUCAUCCAUUGUAAGAAUAUUUUCAUCACACCCAACCCAACAUAUCACACAAUUAUUAUAUUAAUACGACAAUUCCAUUCUCUUCCUCAAACUCACUUAUAAACGAAUCAGAAUCAGAACCAGAUGAAUCUCUUUCACUAAAGACUGAACUAAAUUGUCCGCAACCUUACUUGACUCACUAAUUUUGGUCACUCAACAAAUCUGAUUUAUUUUUCCCCAUCACUAUUACUAUUGCAACUUUCAUUCAAUUUACUGUUCCUCACAAAACACUACAAAUAUCGAUAACUCACUAAGUUCAAACAAUUAUAUUGAAAUUAACGACAGAACUAAAAUUUAGCUAAAACAUUAUAUAAGAGUAUCCAAAAUCUGAUUAAAAACUCUGCGAAACACAAAAAGCAGAGAGUACUAUCAAGACAUUUCGAUAAAAUAUAAAGAAAGGGGAAAAGGGACUGAAAUCAACGGUAGGAUUUCUGGAACCUGGCGCGAGCACCGCGACCACCGAACUUCUUGGGCUCGCAGCGGCGAGGAUCAGCAACGAGGAGUGUGCGGUCGUACCUGACGAGGAUGUCUUUGAUCUCCUUCUUGGACUGCUCAUCGACGUACUUCUGGUAGUAGGCGACGAGAGCCUUGGCGAUGCUUUGACGGAUGGCGUAGAUCUGGGAGGUAUGUCCACCGCCCUUGACACGGAUGCGCAUGUCAACUCCGGCAAAACGGUGGCGGCCGAGGAGGAGGAUGGGCUCGAAAGCCUUGAAGCGGAGGAUCUCCGGCUCGACGAGCUCAAUAGGACAUCCGUUGAUCUUGAUUAGGCCGCGGCCGCGUUUGCAGUAAGUAACUGCCACCGCCGUCUUCUUGCGGCCGAAACACUGGACCUGCUCUAAUGCUGGUGGUGUCUGCUGCGCCAUCUUCGCAAUUAGGGUUUGGGUUUCUCUCACAGCGCCUCACUCAGGUAACCUAUCUGCAAUUUUCUAAUGUUUAUGGCUUUAUAUAUUCAUCGAAGGUUUUUUAGGCUGCGG